Molecule: ribosomal RNA, 112 nt
Filed under: Sphingobacteriaceae bacterium
Lineage: Bacteria; Pseudomonadati; Bacteroidota; Sphingobacteriia; Sphingobacteriales; Sphingobacteriaceae
Also listed under: 1 other name
Source: RNAcentral
UCAGGUGCCUAUAUCGGCGGUGUCCACCUCUUCCCAUUCCGAACAGAGAAGUUAAGCCCGCCAGAGCCGAUGGUACUGCGGUAACACGUGGGAGAGUAGGUCGGUGCCGACU